UGUGAAUCUGACAACAGAGGCUUACGACCCC
Molecule: non-coding RNA, 31 nt
Filed under: Homo sapiens (human)
Lineage: Eukaryota; Metazoa; Chordata; Mammalia; Primates; Hominidae
Source: RNAcentral